This 338-nucleotide RNase P RNA is filed under the name Spartobacteria bacterium. RNAcentral describes it as "RNase P RNA component class A". It matches the Rfam family "Bacterial RNase P class A". Rfam says of the family: Ribonuclease P (RNase P) is a ubiquitous endoribonuclease, found in archaea, bacteria and eukarya as well as chloroplasts and mitochondria. Its best characterised activity is the generation of mature 5'-ends of tRNAs by cleaving the 5'-leader elements of precursor-tRNAs. Cellular RNase Ps are ribonucleoproteins. Lineage: Bacteria; Pseudomonadati; Verrucomicrobiota; Spartobacteria. The record is from RNAcentral.
UCGGAAGGGCGGAUAGCCGCUCUGGCCGGCAACGGCCGGGGAGGAAAGUCCAGACUCCACCGGGCGCGGUGCUCCGUGCAAACGGAGGGGUCCGGUUGUAAGGAUCGGGCCACGGACAGUGCCACAGAAAACAAACCACCCCGGCAACGGGGAACGGGUGAAACGGCGAGGUAAAAGCUCACCGCGUCCCGCGCGAGCGGGACGGCACGGAAAACCCCACCGGGAGCAAGACCAAAUAGGCCACGAGACGCGGCCCGCGUCGUUUGAGUGGCGGGUACAGGUCGCAUCAGAUAAAUGGCUAUCAAGAACAGAAUCUGGCUUACGGCCCUUCCGUUCGU